This 370-nucleotide ribosomal RNA is filed under the name uncultured organism. RNAcentral describes it as "bacterial SSU rRNA". It matches the Rfam family "Bacterial small subunit ribosomal RNA", at positions 526 to 896 of the family's 1533-position model. The record is from RNAcentral.
CGAAGGUGGCAAGCGUUGUUCGGAUUUACUGGGCGUACAGGGAGCGUAGGCGGUUGGAUAAGCCCUCCGUGAAAUCUCCAGGCUUAACCUGGAAAGUGCAGAGGGGACUGUUCAGCUAGAGGAUGGGAGAGGAGCGGGCGGAAUUCCCGGUGUAGCGGUGAAAUGCGUAGAGAUCGGGAGGAAGGCCGGUGGCGAAGGCGGCGCUCUGGAACAUUUCUGACGCUGAGGCUCGAAAGCGUGGGGAGCAAACAGGAUUAGAUACCCUGGUAGUCCACGCCUUAAACGAUGGAUACUAAGUGUCGGCGGGUUACCGCCGGUGCCGCAGCUAACGCAGUAAGUAUCCCGCCUGGGAAGUACGGCCGCAAGGUUG